CAUGCAAGUCGAACGAGCCUUCGGGCUAGUGGCGGACGGGUGAGUAACGCGUGGGAAUCUGCCCUCAGGAGGGGGAUAACGGCCGGAAACGGCCGCUAAUACCCCAUAUGCCGAGAGGUGAAAUGAAUUUCGCCUGAGGAUGAGCCCGCGUCUGAUUAGCUAGUUGGUGUGGUAAUGGCGCACCAAGGCUUCGAUCAGUAGCUGGUCUGAGAGGAUGAUCAGCCACACUGGGACUGAGACACGGCCCAGACUCCUACGGGAGGCAGCAGUGGGGAAUUUUCCGCAAUGGGCGCAAGCCUGACGGAGCAACGCCGCGUGAGGGACGAAGGCCUCUGGGCUGUAAACCUCUUUUCUCAAGGAAGAAGACAUGACGGUACUUGAGGAAUAAGCCACGGCUAAUUCCGUGCCAGCAGCCGCGGUAAUACGGGAGUGGCAAGCGUUAUCCGGAAUUAUUGGGCGUAAAGCGUCCGCAGGCGGCCCAGCAAGUCUGUUGUUAAAAAGUGGAGCUUAACUCCAUCCAGGCAAUGGAAACUGCUGGGCUAGAGUGUGGUAGGGGCAGAGGGAAUUCCCGGUGUAGCGGUGAAAUGCGUAGAUAUCGGGAAGAACACCAGUGGCGAAGGCGCUCUGCUGGGCCAUAACUGACGCUCAUGGACGAAAGCCAGGGGAGCGAAAGGGAUUAGAUACCCCUGUAGUCCUGGCCGUAAACGAUGAACACUAGGUGUCGGGGGAAUCGACCCCCUCGGUGUCGUAGCCAACGCGUUAAGUGUUCCGCCUGGGGAGUACGCACGCAAGUGUGAAACUCAAAGGAAUUGACGGGGGCCCGCACAAGCGGUGGAGUAUGUGGUUUAAUUCGAUGCAACGCGAAGAACCUUACCAGGGUUUGACAUCCUGCGAAUCCCUUGGAAACUUGGGAGUGCCUUCGGGAGCGCAGUGACAGGUGGUGCAUGGCUGUCGUCAGCUCGUGUCGUGAGAUGUUGGGUUAAGUCCCGCAACGAGCGCAACCCACGUCUUUAGUUGCCAGCAUUCAGUUGGGCACUCUAGAGAGACCGCCGGUGAUAAACCGGAGGAAGGUGUGGAUGACGUCAAGUCAUCAUGCCCCUUACAUCCUGGGCUACACACGUACUACAAUGCUACGGACAAAGGGCAGCAAACUCGCGAGAGCUAGCAAAUCCCAUAAACCGUGGCUCAGUUCAGAUCGUAGGCUGCAACUCGCCUACGUGAAGGAGGAAUCGCUAGUAAUCGCAGGUCAGCAUACUGCGGUGAAUACGUUCCCGGGCCUUGUACACACCGCCCGUCACACCAUGGAAGUUGGCCAUGCCCGAAGUCGUUACUCCAACCCGUAAGGGAGGAGGACGCCGAAGGUGGGGCUGAUGACUGGGGUGAAGUCGUAACAAGGUAGCCGUAUCGGAAGGUGCGGCUGGA
RNAcentral lists this ribosomal RNA (1422 nucleotides) under Cyanobium sp. LEGE 06316. RNAcentral describes it as "bacterial SSU rRNA". It matches the Rfam family "Bacterial small subunit ribosomal RNA". Lineage: Bacteria; Bacillati; Cyanobacteriota; Cyanophyceae; Synechococcales; Prochlorococcaceae. The record is from RNAcentral.